RNAcentral lists this unclassified non-coding RNA (379 nucleotides) under uncultured Pseudomonadota bacterium. RNAcentral's name for it is "uncultured proteobacterium contains 16S-23S intergenic spacer region". The record is from RNAcentral. Lineage: Bacteria; Pseudomonadati; Pseudomonadota.
UCCGAUUUGUCACCGGCAGUCUCCCAUGAGUCCCCGACAUUACUCGCUGGCAACAUGGGACAGGGGUUGCGCUCGUUGCGGGACUUAAUCCAACAUCUCACGACACGAGCUGACGACAGCCAUGCAGCACCUGUGUCCAGUGCCCCGAAGGGAAAGUCGCGUCUCUGCGACCGGUCACUGGCAUGUCAAGGCCUGGUAAGGUUCUUCGCGUUGCGUCGAAUUAAACCACAUGCUCCACCGCUUGUGCGGGUCCCCGUCAAUUUCUUUGAGUUUUAAUCUUGCGACCGUACUCCCCAGGCGGUGUGCUUAUUGCGUUAGCUGCGCCACUGAAAGGUAAACCUUCCAGCAGCUAGCACACAUCGUUUACGGCGUGGACUAC